Molecule: ribosomal RNA, 627 nt
Filed under: uncultured bacterium
Lineage: Bacteria
Description: bacterial SSU rRNA
Rfam family: Bacterial small subunit ribosomal RNA
Source: RNAcentral
GAUGGGCCCGCGGCGCAUUAGCUAGUUGGUGGGGUAAAGGCUUACCAAGGCAAUGAUGCGUAGCCGAACUGAGAGGUUGAUCGGCCACAUUGGGACUGAGACACGGCCCAAACUCCUACGGGAGGCAGCAGUAGGGAAUCUUCCACAAUGGGCGAAAGCCUGAUGGAGCAACGCCGCGUGGGUGAAGAAGGUCUUCGGAUCGUAAAACCCUGUUGUUAGAGAAGAAAGUGCGUGAGAGUAACUGUUCACGUUUCGACGGUAUCUAACCAGAAAGCCACGGCUAACUACGUGCCAGCAGCCGCGGUAAUACGUAGGUGGCAAGCGUUAUCCGGAUUUAUUGGGCGUAAAGGGAACGCAGGCGGUCUUUUAAGUCUGAUGUGAAAGCCUUCGGCUUAACCGGAGUAGUGCAUUGGAAACUGGGAGACUUGAGUGCAGAAGAGGAGAGUGGAACUCCAUGUGUAGCGGUGAAAUGCGUAGAUAUAUGGAAGAACACCAGUGGCGAAAGCGGCUCUCUGGUCUGUAACUGACGCUGAGGUUCGAAAGCGUGGGUAGCAAACAGGAUUAGAUACCCUGGUAGUCCACGCCGUAAACGAUGAAUGCUAAGUGUUGGAGGGUUUCCGCCCUUCA